Molecule: long non-coding RNA, 576 nt
Organism: Myiozetetes cayanensis
Lineage: Eukaryota; Metazoa; Chordata; Aves; Passeriformes; Tyrannidae
Exons: 2
Source: RefSeq, a predicted model, not a curated record
UACUGAAGAUGGAACUUCUUACACCUGGCAGAGGGUUAACCACAGACAGUGGGGACUGUGACACAGUGGGUUUCCUGUGAGGAAUGUCAACCUAUGGUGUUAGGACAUGUGGCUGUAUGUCCAAUCAUGAGUUGUUAUGAUAUGGUAAACCAAUGCUGUGUGUACAUGUGUUACCCCAGAACUGUAUAAAGGUAGCUGUACUGUUGCAAUAAAAAAGCUGCUGGUAUCCUGAAACCCAUGUCGCCCCCCCGCCUCGACCGCGACAUAUGGUGAACCCCCGACGUGAUUGCGAAGGAAGAUAGAAGAGAACUCGACGACAAGAAGCGAACGAAGAAUCGCUCGGGCGGGAUCUCGAGAAGCUGCUACCCGGAGGGAUCAGACGGCCGCUGACCCCCCCGUUCCGCUUUCACCGCUUCUCAGCCCGAGAGAUCGCAUGCCGCUGAGCUGCCUUUUGCUGCUGCUGAGAACUUUCUCGCUGCUGCUGAGACUUUUUCACGGCUACUCUGCUUUCUACCUACCUGUGGCACAUGCACAAGCUACAUGGACAACUCAUUUAUGGACAUUCAGCACUGAGAA